AGAAUCAACGCUGGCGGCGUGCCUCAGACAUGCAAGUCGAACGAUUAAAGCUCUCUUCGGAGAGUGUAUAGAGUGGCGCACGGGUGAGUAACACGUAAGUAAUCUACCUUCGAGUGGGGAAUAACCCGGGGAAACCCGAGCUAAUACCGCAUAAUGCAGCGGCAUCGCAAGAUGACAGUUGUUAAAGGAUUUAUUUCGCUUGAAGAGGAGCUUGCGGCAGAUUAGCUUGUUGGUAAGGUAACGGGCUUACCAAGGCUACGAUCUGUAUCCGGUCUAAGAGGACGGUCGGACACACUGACACUGAAUAACGGGUCAGACUCCUACGGAGGCAGCAGUCGGGAAUUUGGGCAAUGGGCGAAGCCUGACCCAGCAACGCGCGUGAAGGAUGAAGUAUUUCGGUAUGUAAACUCGAAAGAAUAGGAAGAAUAAAUGACGUACUAUUUAUAAGCUACCGGACUAACUACGUGACCAGACACGGCCGACGGUAAUCGUGGAAGCGGGACGUGGACGAAGG
RNAcentral lists this ribosomal RNA (514 nucleotides) under uncultured soil bacterium. Its description in RNAcentral is "bacterial SSU rRNA". It matches the Rfam family "Bacterial small subunit ribosomal RNA", at positions 34 to 540 of the family's 1533-position model. The record is from RNAcentral.